Molecule: ribosomal RNA, 468 nt
Filed under: uncultured bacterium
Lineage: Bacteria
Description: partial 16S ribosomal RNA
Rfam family: Bacterial small subunit ribosomal RNA
Source: RNAcentral
GACGAACGCUGGCGGCGUGCUUAACACAUGCAAGUCGAACGGAAAGGCCCUGCUUUUGUUGGGUGCUCGAGUGGCGAACGGGUGAGUAACACGUGUGUAACCUGCCCUUGACCUUCGGAUAACUUCCGGAAACUCGGGCUAAUAUCCGAGAGGAGCUCCUGCUGCACGGUGGGGGUUGGAAAGUUUCGGCGGUUGUGGAUGGACUCGCGGCUUAUCAGCUUGUUGGUGGGGUAGUGGCUUACCAAGGCUUUGACGGGUAGCCGGCCUGAGAGGUUGACCGGCCACAAUGGGCCUGCGAGACGCACCAGUCUCCUACGGGAGGCAGCAGGGGGGAAUAUUGCACAACGGCGCGAAGCCAGAUGCGGUAACCCCGGGUGCGGGAUGACGGCCUACGGGUUGUAAACAGAUUUCGCAUGUGCCGAAGCGUGAGUGACGGUAAUGAGUAAAGAAGCCACGGCUAACUACGUG